Long non-coding RNA from Gossypium arboreum, 876 nucleotides. RefSeq lists it as uncharacterized. The record is from RefSeq and is a predicted model, not a curated record. The transcript is spliced from 2 exons. Lineage: Eukaryota; Viridiplantae; Streptophyta; Magnoliopsida; Malvales; Malvaceae.
UCGAGCGAGGGGAAGGAUCUAACGCGCAAAUUCCCCAUUUGAAGAGCUAAGGCGCGGAUCCGGGUCCUGGAACGGGUCGACGCACGGAUCUCUUAUCCUUAAACGGCGACAUUUCAUUUUUAAUCCAAAAUUACAGGAAACUGAAUGGCAAUCUUCCAUUUCUUCAAGCCACAAUUGAAUCAAAACCCUAAUGCCUCAUUUUCCCCUCAUUUGGCUGACAAAAGAAACAAAACCAUAGCACCCUUUCGAUUCUCAUCAAGUUUAGCCAAAAAAAGCUCAUUAAUUGUCAUGGCACCAUUGUAUUUGAUGAAUGGCGAUGAGUAUAUACCCCUCUUUUCCCCGUUUGAAAAACCACUUGUGACUGCUGAUUUUAACUUAGAGAUCCUAUCUCAAGCUCCGAUUGCGAUGAAGGAGAUAGGGGUUCCGAUGGUGUACUUAUGAAGGCUCGGCUGUACAGAGGAACGAGGGGAGGAUCUCGUGAAGGAGGCCAUGUUGGGAACCGCUCGUGGGAGCCUGACCCUUUGGCACUAUUCUAGCAUAUUCCAGAAGUUUCUCGGCUGCUGAGUUUCUUUGGGUUCUGUUGGGUCUCAGAUUUGGGCUACUGGAAUCGGGUCUGGGCAUUGAGUGGAUUGCUUGGGUUUUAAUUUAAGCCUGAAAUUCUAUACAUGGGUUAGGAUUCUUGGGUCAUUUGGGCUAGGUUUAUUGGGUUAAGGAUUUUGGAUAUAAUUGUUAAGCUAUAGGUUUGGGUUUAAGCCCGAAAUUAAGUUUGGGUUAAUCGGUUUGGGUUUAAUUUAGGCCCAGAAUUUUGUAAAUGGACGUUGGCCUCAUAAACACCUUAGUUUAUUUAUUUUUAUUUGAUACACAUAUUUUUUGGUU